GCCUGGGUGGCUCAGUCGGUAGAGCAUGUGACUUUUGAUCUCAGGGUUUUAAGUUCAAGUCCCACUUUGGGUG
RNAcentral lists this transfer RNA (73 nucleotides) under Ailuropoda melanoleuca (giant panda). It matches the Rfam family "tRNA". Rfam says of the family: Transfer RNA (tRNA) molecules are approximately 80 nucleotides in length. Their secondary structure includes four short double-helical elements and three loops (D, anti-codon, and T loops). The record is from Rfam by way of RNAcentral. Lineage: Eukaryota; Metazoa; Chordata; Mammalia; Carnivora; Ursidae.